This 482-nucleotide ribosomal RNA is filed under the name uncultured bacterium. RNAcentral describes it as "partial 16S ribosomal RNA". It matches the Rfam family "Bacterial small subunit ribosomal RNA", at positions 30 to 507 of the family's 1533-position model. The record is from RNAcentral.
AUUGAACGCUGGCGGCAUGCCUUACACAUGCAGGUCGAACGGUAACAGGUCUUCGGAUGCUGACGAGUGGCGCACGGGUGAGUAAUACAUCGGAACGUGCCCGAUCGUGGGGGAUAACGAGGCGAAAGCUUUGCUAAUACCGCAUACGAUCUACGGAUGAAAGCGGGGGAUCUUCGGACCUCGCGCGGACGGAGCGGCCGAUGGCAGAUUAGGUAGUUGGUGGGAUAAAAGCUUACCAAGCCGACGAUCUGUAGCUGGUCUGAGAGGAUGAUCAGCCACACUGGGACUGAGACACGGCCCAGACUCCUACGGGAGGCAGCAGUGGGGAAUUUUGGACAAUGGGCGAAAGCCUGAUCCAGCCAUGCCGCGUGCAGGAUGAAGGCCUUCGGGUUGUAAACUGCUUUUGUACGGAACGAAAAGCCUCUUUCUAAUAAAGAGGGGUCAUGACGGUACCGUAAGAAUAAGCACCGGCUAACUACGUG